RNAcentral lists this ribosomal RNA (495 nucleotides) under uncultured bacterium. Its description in RNAcentral is "bacterial SSU rRNA". It matches the Rfam family "Bacterial small subunit ribosomal RNA", at positions 11 to 518 of the family's 1533-position model. The record is from RNAcentral.
GUUGAUCCUGGCUCAGAACGAACGCUGGUGGCGUGUCUUAUACAUGCAAGUCGAGCGAGGCAGCAAUGCCGAGCGGCGAACGGGUGAGUAACGCGUAAGCAAUCUGCCCCAUAUCAGGAAAUACCCGUGCCAACGCGCGGUUAAUGUCCAGGAGAGUGGCUCCUUGCAUGAGGAGUUGACUAGAGAUUUAUCGGUAUGGGAUGAGCUUGCGUCCGAUUAGCUAGUUGGCGGGGCAACGGCCCACCAAGGCGACGAUCGGUAGCCGGCCUGAGAGGGUGAUCGGCCACAUUGGGACUGAGAUACGGCCCAGACUCCUACGGGAGGCAGCAGUAGGGAAUAUUGCACAAUGGGGGAAACCCUGAUGCAGCAACGCCACGUGUGGGAAGAAAGCAUUUCGGUGUGUAAACCACUGUCAUGAGGGAAUAAGGCCUGUCUUCGGGCAGGAUUGAAUGUACCUUGAGAGGAAGCACCGGCAAACUUCGUGCCAGCCGCUGC